This 492-nucleotide ribosomal RNA is filed under the name uncultured bacterium. RNAcentral describes it as "partial 16S ribosomal RNA". It matches the Rfam family "Bacterial small subunit ribosomal RNA", at positions 29 to 507 of the family's 1533-position model. The record is from RNAcentral.
AGUGAACGCUGGCGGUAGGCCUAACACAUGCAAGUCGAACGGCAGCACAGUAAGCGCUUGCUCUUACGGGUGGCGAGUGGCGGACGGGUGAGGAAUACAUCGGCAUCUACUUUUUCGUGGGGGAUAUCGUAGGAAAACUUACGCUAAUACCGAAUACGACCUACGGGUGAAAGCAGGGGAUCUUCGCACUUUGCGCGAUUGAUUGAGCCGAUGUCGGAUUAGCUAGUUGGCGGGGUAAAGGCCCACCAAGGCGACGAUGCGUAGCUGGUCUGAGAGGAUGAUCAGCCACACUGGAACUGAGACACGGUCCAGACUCCUACGGGAGGCAGCAGUGGGGAAUAUUGGACAAUGGGCGCAAGCCUGAUCCAGCCAUGCCGCGUGAGUGAAGAAGGCCUUCGGGUCGUAAAGCCCUUUUGUUGGGAAAGAAAAGCAGUGUGUUAAAACCCCGAUGUUCUGACGGUACCCAAAGAAUAAGCACCGGCUAACUUCGUG